This 75-nucleotide transfer RNA is filed under the name Acidobacteriota bacterium. Its description in RNAcentral is "Acidobacteria bacterium tRNA-Arg". It matches the Rfam family "tRNA". Rfam says of the family: Transfer RNA (tRNA) molecules are approximately 80 nucleotides in length. Their secondary structure includes four short double-helical elements and three loops (D, anti-codon, and T loops). RNAcentral also lists the same sequence under 1 other name. Lineage: Bacteria; Pseudomonadati; Acidobacteriota. The record is from RNAcentral.
GGGCCUGUAGCUCAGAUGGAUGAGAGCGCAAGCUUGCGGAGCUUGAGGUCGCAGGUUCAAAUCCUGCCAGGCUCU